CCUACGGGAGGCAGCAGUGGGGGAUAUUGCACAAUGGGGGAAACCCUGAUGCAGCGACGCCGCGUGAGUGAAGAAGUAAUUCGUUACGUAAAGCUCUAUCAGCAGGGAAGAAACACUGACCUUACGGUCAGCAGACGGUACCUGAGUAAGAAACCCCGGCUAACUACGGUCCAACAGGCGCGGUAAUACGUAGGGGGCAAGCGUUAUCCGGAUUUACUGGGUGUAAAGGGAGCGUAGACGGUGCGACAAGUAUGGAGUGAAAUGCCGCAGCUUAACUUGGGAACUGCUUUGGAAACUGGCGAACUAGAGUGCGGGAGGGGUAAGCGGAAUUCCUAGUGUAGCGGUGAAAUGCGUAGAUAUUAGGCGGAACACCGGUGGCGAAGGCGGCUUACUGGACCGUAACUGACGUUGAGGCUCGAAAGCGUGGGGAGCAAACAGGAUUAGAUACCCCGGUAGUC
Molecule: ribosomal RNA, 458 nt
Filed under: uncultured bacterium
Lineage: Bacteria
Description: partial 16S ribosomal RNA
Rfam family: Bacterial small subunit ribosomal RNA
Source: RNAcentral